RNAcentral lists this ribosomal RNA (508 nucleotides) under uncultured bacterium. RNAcentral's name for it is "partial 16S ribosomal RNA". It matches the Rfam family "Bacterial small subunit ribosomal RNA", at positions 30 to 523 of the family's 1533-position model. The record is from RNAcentral.
AUUGAACGCUGGCGGCAGGCCUCACACAUGCAAGUCGAGCGGCAGCGGGAAAGUAGCUUGCUACUUUUGCCGGCGAGCGGCGGACGGGUGAGUAAUGCCUGGGAAAUUGCCCUGAUGUGGGGGAUAACUACUGGAAACGGUAGCUAAUACCGCAUAAUGCCUUUGGGCCAAAGAGGGGGACCUUCGGGCAUCUCGCGUCAGGUUAUGCCCAGGUGGGAUUAGCUAGUUGGUGAGGUAAUGGCUCACCAAGGCGACGAUCUCUAGCUGGUCUGAAAGGUUGAUCAGCCACACUGGAACUGAGACACGGUCCAGACUCCGACGGGAGGCAGCAGUGGGUAAUAUUGCACAAUGGGGGAAACCCUGAUGCAGCCAUGCCGCGUGUGUGAAGAAGGCCUUCGGGUUGUAAAGCACUUUCAGCGAGGAGGAAAGGUUGGUAGCUAAUAAUUGCCAGCUGUGACGUUACUCGCAGAAGAAGCACCGGCUAACUCCGUGCCAGCAGCCGCCGUAA